This is a long non-coding RNA of Pseudophryne corroboree (corroboree frog), 838 nucleotides long. RefSeq lists it as uncharacterized. The record is from RefSeq and is a predicted model, not a curated record. The transcript is spliced from 3 exons. NCBI's taxonomy places the organism in Eukaryota, Metazoa, Chordata, Amphibia, Anura, Myobatrachidae.
GCCUGGUGAUGCUGUGUGGUCCUGCUCCGACUCCCGUUCCCUGCAUCCAGCCGCAGUGGUGAUAUUCAGCUACACAGCGUGGUGUGUGGUCAUGGCUAAGGAGAGACAGGUGACGGGGAACUGGUCGAGAUGCAGAUUGCUAUCAAAAUCACGUGGUACUAAGCCCACACUGAAGUAUUAUAUGGUAUGGAGGCAUUAUGGAGUGGACACCUAGUUUUGUUCACACAUUGCAGUUGGUCGUCAACAUGGUCCACAAAGAAGUCUUGGCUGCACGUCUCUUGGAAAAGUUAUCUAUUGAGACCGGGGCACCAGACUACAAAGACCAGAAUGCAUUGAGAAAAUUGCGCUGACAUGAGCGGCCGAUACGUCAUUUCCGCUUUCGGUUCCGGCGGAAACACCAUAUAUGGACCGCAAAUUGGAAUCAAAGAACUACGAAUCCCAUAAGGCCAAGCGCGGCCAGCGCGAUUGAUCAAGAAUGAAUGCUUCUGCACCAAAUAUACGAACUUUAUGGAUUUGUCUCCAAUAACAUUAUAUAAACCGCGAUGUAUCUUAUUUCUUUAUUGCCUUUUGAUCACAAUUUUACAAGUAAUGGAAUUAAGGAACAGGAAGUCGGCUAAUUGACGGCAUCACUUCCUGCUACUCACAGAUAGGCCAGUGUCCUUAUAAAUACCUAGUCUCCUCACAGUUCAGAUAUGUCUUGACAAAGGUCUCACGACCGAAACGCGUCGACAUUAUCUGGACUGUGAGUAGCAAGAUUUCCAUUUUCCUCUUUUAAUUUAAUUUUUAAACGGCCAACAAAUUUAUUUUUUUAUGGACAAUUAUUGUUUUGUAUUGAACC